RNAcentral lists this unclassified non-coding RNA (772 nucleotides) under Hevea brasiliensis (rubber tree). Lineage: Eukaryota; Viridiplantae; Streptophyta; Magnoliopsida; Malpighiales; Euphorbiaceae. The record is from RNAcentral.
AAAAUCUCGUCAAUUAAGUUUGCUAGCUUUGGAACACCAGAAGGGGCUUGUGGAAACUAUCGUGAAGGAAGCUGUCACGCCUUUCACUCAUAUGAUGCUUUUAACAGGCUUUGUGUUGGGCAGAACUGGUGCUCAGUAACUGUAGCACCUGAAAUGUUUGGAGGAGAUCCAUGCCCAAACGUCAUGAAGAAACUAGCCGUGGAGGCCAUUUGCAGUUGAUGACAUGUGGAGUAGUCGAAAUACAGGAAGGUUCCUGAUUAGUUUUCUCACACUUCAACACAGCAGCUUCAAUAUAUUAUUAUUAUUUUUUGGGUAAAUUAAGCUUCAUAGGUAAGACCCCCACCACCACCUCCACCAUUUAUUCGGCUUUUACAGGGUGAAGUUGUACAAAUAUACAGCACACCUUCUGGUCAAAAGCCGACGGAGAUUGUGAAAAUGAUUGCAGACAAGCCUUGUGUAUAUAAAUUACCUAUUAUUUAAUGUUUAUGCUCUUCACGCUGAACGCAAGCAAAGGAGAGGGGUUUGACAGAAGCACAUCGUGACGAAGUUAAUCAAGUCCGUGCGCAAAAUUUAUUAGUUUUAGAACAUGAAAGCCUCUGGUUUCCAGUAAUCUUAUAUUUUCUUUUUAUUGCAUGUAACUUCCUGGCAAGCAAUUGCUUCAUUGCUUUGUUCUUGUAAGAAAGUUUCUUGAGUUUUGAGAAAGUGAUACCAAGCUUAUCAAUUGUGUCGUUGAUUCGUGAUCAUUUUCUCAAAACUCAAGAAACUUUCUUAC